Molecule: ribosomal RNA, 372 nt
Filed under: Triticum aestivum (bread wheat)
Lineage: Eukaryota; Viridiplantae; Streptophyta; Magnoliopsida; Poales; Poaceae
Description: partial small subunit ribosomal RNA
Source: RNAcentral
AUGUUUGGUGCUGAAAGUCAGGCUCAGUCUAUCAAUACCCGCACUGAGCUCACAAACCUGCAAAAAGGUAAUAUGACUAUGGCCGAGUACCUUGGAAAAAUUAAGAGUAUCACUCACGAGGUUGCUUGCACCGGCGCCGCGCUAUUUGAUCCGGAGAUCAAGUCAAAAAUUCCUGCUAGAUUGGAUCUGGAGUACAACCCCGUUGUGUCGGCGCUUGCUGCUCAAGUGGAACCAAUCACGGUUAAGGAGCUUUACAGCCAGCUCCUAAGUUUUGAUGACAGCCUCAGCCUCCUCCAUGGCACCAAUCUCUGUCAGUCCUCCGCGAACUCUGCCUCCCGUGGCCGCGGCCAUGGGCGUGGUCACCAGGGGUGA